UCAGCCUUCUAUCUCGAAGAUGGUGUUGUUACAUUUGACAACAUCUCUUUGUUCUGGACUUCUCUAGCCACUCGUUCCACAGGGUAUGAUUCCAGCUCUUUUGAACCUUCACAAUUAUGUGAAUUGAAUUUUUUUAAAUGACUCUAAUCAUGAUUAACUGAGUGAUUUCGCGAUUGGUGCCAAAAUCCAUUGUUAUGCUUAAUUGGGUGUUGCUUAAUUAUUGUUAUCUUUUUGUUUGAUCUCUAGUUGUUGUAAACUUUGAUCUAUUUACUCUGACACACGUUGUGCUGAAAGGAUGGUUUGUUUUUGUUAAUAUAAUUCAUUUUGAUUUCUUAAAAAAAAUACUGGGUGAUUUAUUACCAUUGGGACUAUUAUUAAUAUAUGUGUGUUUUAAAAUCAAAUUUAUUGAGGUUGUGAUAUUAAUCAAAUUUUGGGUGUUCUUGAAACAACAAUAACAGGUUAUUCCUACUGUUUUUUAAUGCCAUGGAUCUACUUAUGAAUGGAAAUAUGAGAAACUGGUCAAACAACAAAGUAUGAGUAUAACCUUGAAGCAUUAUAGUUGCAAAGGAAGGAGAACGAUUGCUCAGUAAAAUUAGGAUAAGAACCUUACAAUUUUUGGUUUGUUUUCACAAAGAUCUAACGUCGUUAACCUUCAAGGGAUGUAUGCGUCACAUUCAAAAUAAAAUAAGGGAGGUUCUGUCAUUUUGCAAAAUAAAGGGGGUGUGAGUGACAUUUUUGCAAAACUCAGAGGAGGUUGAUGCAAUUUACCCUUAAAUUUAUAUUUCUAUGUCUCAUGAUGAUGUUACUCAUACUCGGUCCAUCACAGAUUAACUGUGUCAUUUGCUUAUUUCAUAAGUAUUAAAAAAAAAGCAUAAAUGAAGGACAUAGAAAAAUGGUUUUAAGUGUUUUUGUUAAGUAUUGGUGCAUUCUCCAUUAUCAUAAAUGUAAAGUGAAAUGUAUUAAAUUGAGAGUGAUGAACAUAUUAUUAAUUAGAGUUAUAUUUGAAAAAAAGUAAUUAAUGAUGUAUAAAAAAGUAAAAUUGGUCAAUAUUUUUGGGACAUUAUUUUUUUACGUUUGUUUUUCUGACUUCCAAAAGUUUUUAAUAACAUAUGGAAAUGAUCAAAAAAACUCAGCGGUAGUUAACUGCCGCCGGAGGUAUUUUAGACCUUUUCAUGUGUUAUUAGGAAUAUCUGAAAGUUAAAAAAAACAAUUUUCAUAUUUUUUUUUGCAAAUGACUCACAUAUUAUGAGACGGAGGGAGCAUCUUGUUUUUGAAUCCAAUUCAUCCUUACAUGUUAUUUCUUCAUAAGAUAAGAUCUCACCUCAUUUAGGUUCAAUUGGCCAACUGAGCCUAGUCAUUGUGAACUUAAUUUCACUCAAUUCUUCGUAUUCUCUUCAGUCUUGAAAACAUGUUUUACUAAUUCACCAAUAAUAAUAAGAGUAAAUUACACUCCCCUCCCUUCAAAGAUGCUUGAAUUACAUUCUCCUCCCCUCUUAUGUUAAAAUAUACACUUCCCUUCCUUGAAAAGUAAAAUUUACACUCUCCCCCCCUAUAAGAUGCUUGAAUUACAUCCUACUCCCUUAAUAAUUAAAUAUGGACUACACUUUAAUCUAUUUUAACAUAAAUAAAUAUUUUUAUAAUAUAUUUUAAUUUUGAAAUACCAUUUAAAAAAUAUAAAUUCGUUUAUUUAUAAUCUAAAUGUCAACGACAAUUAAAUUUAAAUCUUUUGUUAUUAAUUUUAUAAUUNUUUCUCUUCUUGAAAUUUUCUCUUUAUGGUCAGUGAUGAUAUGGCCCAGUAUCCUGUCUACUUGUUGGCUUAACUUCUCAAGCUUAGGCUUCAAUCCAGAUAUAUUUUGAAUCCAUUGAGCUGAAGGAAACAAGUCACCAAUAUAGAACCCUCCAGCAAGUUUUAUAAGUUGUUUUACAACUGAUAUGAACUCUUCUUGUUCCAAAUAUUUCUUACCAAAUGCAGCCUUUGAAGUGAAUGUAUACAUCAUUGACAUAACUUCUUCAGUGAGAUUGAACUCUGAUCCUUCAUUUGAAGCAAUCUUCUUUAGGAGAAAAUUGAUCUCUUUUUGUCUUACUGGCCAAAGAGAUUUGACUCUUCUUGUGCUUAAUAGCUCAAUAGCACAAAUCUUUCUAAGUUGUCUCCAAUAAUCACCAUAAGGUGAAAAAGCUAUAUCCAUUGAAUUGUAAGAUGCUAUGUCUGUGGCAAGAAGAUGAGGCCUUGAUGCAAAGAUAAUAUCAUGUGUUUUUAAAACCUCCUUAGCAACUUCAGGUGAAGAAAUAACAAUGAAAAAGAUCUCACCAAGUUGAAGAUGCAUCAAGGGUCCAUAUUUUUUGGCUAAAUCUCUUAAUCUUCUAGGUGGGUUUAUUGCAACAAGAUGGAGAAUAUUUCCUAAAAUGGGUAACUUCCAUGGCCCUGGAGGUAUAUUUUUACCGAAGUCAUAUUUUUUGUAAUGAUUCCUAAUUUUGAGUGCAAUUAUCAUGAACAUAAAAAUAGUGAAAAAACUAAGAAUUUGAAAAGCCAUGGAGAUGAAAACUAAUGUGAGAUGGACUAACACCGGAAAAACUAAUAUAUAUAGUUAAUAUUUUUGUACGUAGUUUGUUUUUUUUUUUUUUUUAAAUCAGAAAAAACAUUAAAAUAUUUCCGAAAUUAAAAAAUUAAAAAAAUAUUCAGAUUUUUUUUCAAAAAUUUUAAAAUAGAAAAAAUUCAGAUUUUUUUCUUAAAUAAAAAAUUCAAAAAAAUCACUUCUGAAAUUUAAAAAAUUAGCAAAAAAUUCAAAAAAUUUUCAAAAAAAUUAUAAACCGAAAAUAAAUUAAGAUUUUUCUUCUAAAUUCAAAAAUUCAAAAAUUUCUGAAAUUAGAAAAAUAUUCAGAUUUUUUUCGAAAAAUUAUAAAAUAGAUUUUUUUUUGAGAGGGGUAAAUAGAUUUUAAAAUAGAUAUAAAUUCAGAUUUUUAUCCAAAUAUUGUAUUCUAAAAUAAAUUUUUUUGAAAAAACAUUAAAAAAUUUCCGAAAUAGAAAAAUAUUCAGAUUUUUUUCCAAAAUUUUAUGAAUCGAAAAAAAAUUAAGAUUUUUCUUCUACAAUAAAAAUUCAUAAAAAAAUUUCCGAAAUUAGAAAAAUAUUCAGAUUUUUUUACAAAAAUUUUAAAAUAGAUCAAAUUUCAGAUUUUUAUCCAAAUAUUGUUUUCUAAAAUAAUUUUUUUUGAAAAAACAUUAAAAAAAUUCCGUAAUUAAAAAAAAUAUUCAGAUUUUUUUCCAAAAUUUUUUAAUUUGAAAAAAAAAUUAAGAUUUUUCUUUUGAAAUAAAAAUUCAGAAAAUCAUUAAAAAAAACCAAAUUUAAAAAAUUAUUCAGAUUUUUUUCUUAAAUAAGAAAAAUUCAGAAAAAAUUUCCGAAAUUUAAAAAAUGUCCUUAAUUUUUAAAAUCGAAAAAAUUCAAUUGAAUAGAUGAGUUGGAUGGAAAAUUUUGAUAUAGAAAAAAAUUCAAUAGAAUUGAAAAAAAUUCAUUUUAUAAUAAAAAAAAAUUCUAAAAAAAUUGUUUUUACAUUUAAUGGUUUAAAAUAAUUAAGAUUUUUCUUCCAUGUCUUUUUGACCAUAUUAAUUAAAAAAAUUGUUUUAACAUGCAGAAUUAUUUUCAACUUGAAUUUUUUUUCAUCCUUGAUUUAUAGCUUUUUCUUUCAGUCUUCUAAAAUAAUUUCUAAAUUGUUUAUAUCAAAAUUACUUUUAUUUAAUUUUUUUUUGUUAUCAGUUAUCACAAAGUUUUAUUUCUUUUUUAACAAAAGAUAAUAUUAUAUUUAUUAUAAAAAAAAAGAUAUAAUCAUACUAUAAUUACAAUUUCUGGUCUCUCUUUUUAUAGAAAAGAAAAAAGUGCAUAUGAACUAAAUCUGAGAUAUUAUUAUUUUUGACCAAAUAGCAUAGAUUUAUCUAUACUUAUUAAUAAAGGCAAUACUUUUCUUUUGGUGUAGCCUAUAUUUUUACCCAUUAUACCCUUCACUAAUUGCAAAAAUUCCAAAACAAUUAACUGUUUGAAAUGGACGUCGGUUAUCGUAUUUCAAACUCAAAACAUAACUUCUUUUUCAUUUUAAAAAUCAGCAAAAUCAGAACAUAACUGUCUUUUUAAUUUAAAACAUCAGCACGAGAUUCAAGAGGAAGAAAUAAAGAAAGAGCGAACAUCGCACCGCUGAAAAACGGAGUUGUUGCAGCAGCGAUGCAUAAGCAAAAUGGUUAGUUUCUAUUUUCUCCCUUUAUGUUUUUUCUAUAAUCCUUUGCCAUCGAUUGAUUUUCCAUGUUUAGGUUGCAGUCUUUAAAUUUGAUUUUGAAGAAACACAUGGUUAUUACAGUGGAAAACAUAUGGGAGAAGACAACUAACAAGGCUUAGAGCAUUCACAUGCAUAAUACCAGCGGCGGUUAUAAGGCCCGGCGACCCCAGACACUCGCCCGGUUUCGGGCCAAAUUUUUUGCAAUUUCUUGUGUAAAUCCCUAUGAAUUUCUUAUAUAAAUCCCUAUAAAUUGGGCAAUUUCUUUACAUUUUUUAUUAUUUGCUUGCAAUUUCUUAUGUACGCCCUAUAAAUGUGUUGCAAAUUUUUUUUUUGCCCAGGCUUUACAAUAUUCCUAGUUCCGCCACUGCAUAAUACAACAAUCAACGUACACAUUUGCUUUAAAGACUAUGUCUUCUUCUAAGUUAUGUAGAUGAUACAUUCGAACUUCAGAUGCCUUUAAAAUAGUAUAUAUAUGGCAUGCUUUAGGAUCGUCAAUAAUUUGUAGCACUGAUACUUCUUAUGGAAGAAGUGUGUUUUUUUUUUUUUUUUUUUUUACAAUGGAAGGAGUGUGUGAUUACAUUUAUUUAAUUCAUUUUAUAAAGUCAUUUUUUGAUGUCGAUGUGUCAUUAUCAUGUUCAAUCUCAGUAUCUUGAAUAUACUAUUGCUAUCUCAUAUGUGGAUGAUUUGCAGGUUGGAUGUCUCUCAUAUCAUUCUGAUCCAUUAUUUUUAUCUCUCUAAUAAUAGCUCUUUUUUUUUUUUUCUUCCUUAUGUAUCAUACCACAAGAUAAUGGAAGAGGAUGGGAAGAGUUUAUGCUAAUUACAAUAAUAACUAGUAAAUACUAAUUACAAAUAAUUAAGAUUAUUCUAUAAUCUAUAACUCCUCAAGAACCUAUAUUAAUGUGUACAUUACACCCUCCGGUCAUUAAUAUAAGUAAAAAUCUACAUUUUAUGUUCAUUCAUUUAAUGAUGCACAUGGUCUUUAUUAUAUACCACAUACAUCAUUAAAUGAAUGAAUCUAAAAUACAGAUUUUUGCUUAUAUUAGUGACCGGAGGGUGUAAUAUACUAGUCAGCUUAUAUCAAUAUACAUUAAUAUACAAUAAUAACUAGUAAAGACUAACUCCAAAUAAUUAACAUUAUUCUAUAAUCUAUCAAGCUACUCCCUUCGUCCCAAAUUGUAUGACGUUUUGAGCAUUUCACACAUAUUAAGAAAUAUAAUUAAUAUUGUGUGGGAAAGAGAUAUUAUGAGUUGUUUUACAAAAUUAUCCUUAAUAAAUGAUAUGAGAAAGAUAAAUGAAAGAAUUGAAAAAAGAAAGAGUAAUAAAUAGUUAAGGAUAUAAUAGGAAAAAUAACAUUAAUGUUUCAUUGAUAUUCUAAAGUGACAUACAAUUUAGGACAAAUAUUUUUUUUAAAAUGACAUACAAUUUCGGACGGAGGGAGUACUUAAUUGCCAAAACAAAGAAAACCAUUAUUAUGACCAAUUCAAAGGAGACAUUUUCCAAAACACAUCACGUGGCCAUAGGGAGACAAAAUAGCAUGACAAAAGAUACCUUCUUGAUUUACUCCAAGGGUCUACCACCAUCAUGUCAUAAAUAAAGCCACUUACACUUCUUCUUCAUCACAAUACAAACCCCAACAUUGCAGUUUAAUUCAUCUAAAAUCAAUCACGAUUCAACUUGAAAUUCUUCUAAGCUAGCUUUAGACUGCUUCAAGUUCUCAUAAUUCAAAACGAAAAGUUUAUGGAAGUUUUUCAAAUGUAACUUAUCUUUUUGAAUUAUGAGAACUUGAAGCAUACUUAUGUCUGAAGCAGCUUUGAAGAAUAUUUGAUUGAAACAUGUAAGAGUGAGUUUUAGAUGAAAUAAAUUAAUGGCAAAAUUCCAGAAAAAGAUAAACAACCCUAGAUUAAAAAUGUUUAUUUUGAUUUUGAUACAUGCUGCCUCUAUUGAAGUCUUUUAAUAAAACUGAAUCUUGCCUCCGCGGCUCCACCAUCAAUGAUGUCAGACUCGAUCUUUGAACUGCAAAAAUUAGCAGCAUGUUUCGUUUGGGAGAAAAGAUAGAAUGUGGAAUUCGAUAGACAUGAUCCGUAGUUUACUGGAUCGUCCACUAAGCCACGUUCUAUAUUUUCUCCCACCCAAAACCUGCGUUACCAUCAGCCUUCUAUCUCGAAGAUGGUGUUGUUACAUUUGACAACAUCUCUUUGUUCUGGACUUCUCUAGCCACUCGUUCCACAGGGUAUGAUUCCAGCUCUUUUGAACCUUCACAAUUAUGUGAAUUGAAUUUUUUUAAAUGACUCUAAUCAUGAUUAACUGAGUGAUUUCGCGAUUGGUGCCAAAAUCCAUUGUUAUGCUUAAUUGGGUGUUGCUUAAUUAUUGUUAUCUUUUUGUUUGAUCUCUAGUUGUUGUAAACUUUGAUCUAUUUACUCUGACACACGUUGUGCUGAAAGGAUGGUUUGUUUUUGUUAAUAUAAUUCAUUUUGAUUUCUUAAAAAAAAUACUGGGUGAUUUAUUACCAUUGGGACUAUUAUUAAUAUAUGUGUGUUUUAAAAUCAAAUUUAUUGAGGUUGUGAUAUUAAUCAAAUUUUGGGUGUUCUUGAAACAACAAUAACAGGUUAUUCCUACUGUUUUUUAAUGCCAUGGAUCUACUUAUGAAUGGAAAUAUGAGAAACUGGUCAAACAACAAAGUAUGAGUAUAACCUUGAAGCAUUAUAGUUGCAAAGGAAGGAGAACGAUUGCUCAGUAAAAUUAGGAUAAGAACCUUACAAUUUUUGGUUUGUUUUCACAAAGAUCUAACGUCGUUAACCUUCAAGGGAUGUAUGCGUCACAUUCAAAAUAAAAUAAGGGAGGUUCUGUCAUUUUGCAAAAUAAAGGGGGUGUGAGUGACAUUUUUGCAAAACUCAGAGGAGGUUGAUGCAAUUUACCCUUAAAUUUAUAUUUCUAUGUCUCAUGAUGAUGUUACUCAUACUCGGUCCAUC
Molecule: long non-coding RNA, 7229 nt
Filed under: Medicago truncatula (barrel medic)
Lineage: Eukaryota; Viridiplantae; Streptophyta; Magnoliopsida; Fabales; Fabaceae
Description: long non-coding RNA (MTRU_LNC004055)
Rfam family: MIR7696 microRNA precursor family (bases 5963-6050)
Source: RNAcentral